AUGGCUAAGUACUGGUGGGGCAGUUCGAUCGACAAGCGCUCGCUACACUGGCUCUCAUGGGAUAAGCUCGAGGUGCCUAAAGUAAAAGGUGGUAUGGGUUUUUGCAACAUGCAGUCCUUCAACCUCGCUAUGCUUGGGAAACACGGUUGGCGUCUUCUUACAAGACCGGACUCUUUAUGUGCUAGGGUACUGAAAGGAAAAUACUACCCUCACACAGAUUUUCUCAAUGCAACAAUUCUGGCCAAAGCGUCGGCAACCUGGAAGGCAAUAGUGGCAGGAGGAGAU
This 285-nucleotide ribosomal RNA is filed under the name Triticum aestivum (bread wheat). Its description in RNAcentral is "partial small subunit ribosomal RNA". The record is from RNAcentral. Lineage: Eukaryota; Viridiplantae; Streptophyta; Magnoliopsida; Poales; Poaceae.